RNAcentral lists this transfer RNA (74 nucleotides) under Perkinsus marinus ATCC 50983. It matches the Rfam family "tRNA". From Rfam's summary of the family: Transfer RNA (tRNA) molecules are approximately 80 nucleotides in length. Their secondary structure includes four short double-helical elements and three loops (D, anti-codon, and T loops). Further hydrogen bonds mediate the characteristic L-shaped molecular structure. tRNAs have two regions of fundamental functional importance: the anti-codon, which is responsible for specific mRNA codon recognition, and the 3' end, to which the tRNAs corresponding amino acid is attached (by aminoacyl-tRNA synthetases). tRNAs cope with the degeneracy of the genetic code in two manners: having more than one tRNA (with a specific anti-codon) for a particular amino acid; and 'wobble' base-pairing, i.e. permitting non-standard base-pairing at the 3rd anti-codon position. Lineage: Eukaryota; Perkinsozoa; Perkinsida; Perkinsidae. The record is from Rfam by way of RNAcentral.
GCUCCGCUAGCUCAGCUGGUUAGAGCGUGUGGCUGUUAACCACAAGGUCGGUGGUUCGAACCCACCGCGGAGCG